Molecule: transfer RNA, 85 nt
Filed under: Deltaproteobacteria bacterium
Lineage: Bacteria; Pseudomonadati; Myxococcota; Myxococcia
Description: tRNA-Leu
Rfam family: tRNA
About the family: Transfer RNA (tRNA) molecules are approximately 80 nucleotides in length. Their secondary structure includes four short double-helical elements and three loops (D, anti-codon, and T loops). Further hydrogen bonds mediate the characteristic L-shaped molecular structure. tRNAs have two regions of fundamental functional importance: the anti-codon, which is responsible for specific mRNA codon recognition, and the 3' end, to which the tRNAs corresponding amino acid is attached (by aminoacyl-tRNA synthetases). tRNAs cope with the degeneracy of the genetic code in two manners: having more than one tRNA (with a specific anti-codon) for a particular amino acid; and 'wobble' base-pairing, i.e. permitting non-standard base-pairing at the 3rd anti-codon position.
Source: RNAcentral
GCCUGGGUGGCUGGAACUGGUAGACGCGGCGGGCUUAAAACCCGUUGUCCUUCGGGGCGUCUCGGUUCGACUCCGAGUCCAGGCA